This 31-nucleotide non-coding RNA is filed under the name Homo sapiens (human). The record is from RNAcentral. Lineage: Eukaryota; Metazoa; Chordata; Mammalia; Primates; Hominidae.
UACGACUAUAUACAGCACCUUCCUCGGUGUA